CUACGGGGGGCAGCAGUGGGGAAUAUUGCACAAUGGGCGCAAGCCUGAUGCAGCCAUGCCGCGUGUAUGAAGAAGGCCUUCGGGUUGUAAAGUACUUUCAGUAAGGAGGAAGGUAGAGUAGUUAAUAGCUGCUUUAUUUGACGUCACUUACAGAAGAAGCACCGGCGAACUCCGUGCCAGCAGCCGCGGUAAUACGGAGGGUGCGAGUGUUAAUCGGAAUUACUGGUGCGUAAAGCGCAUGCAGGUGGUUUGUUAAGUCAGAUGUGAAAGCCCUGGGCUCAACCCGGGAAUUGCAUUUGAAACUGGCAAGCUAGAGUACUGUAGAGGGGGGUAGAAUUUCAGGUGUAGCGGUGAAAUGCGUAGAGAUCUGAAGGAAUACCGGUGGCGAAGGCGGCCCCCUGGACAGAUACUGACACUCAGAUGCGAAAGCGUGGGGAGCAAACAGGAUUAGAUACCCUGGUAGUC
Molecule: ribosomal RNA, 465 nt
Filed under: uncultured bacterium
Lineage: Bacteria
Description: partial 16S ribosomal RNA
Rfam family: Bacterial small subunit ribosomal RNA
Source: RNAcentral